AUUGAACGCUGGCGGCAUGCUUUACACAUGCAAGUCGAACGGUAACAGGCCGCAAGGUGCUGACGAGUGGCGAACGGGUGAGUAAUGCAUCGGAACGUGCCCAGUCGUGGGGGAUAACUACUCGAAAGAGUAGCUAAUACCGCAUACGAUCUAUGGAUGAAAGCGGGGGACCGUAAGGCCUCGCGCGAUUGGAGCGGCCGAUGUCAGAUUAGGUAGUUGGUGGGGUAAAGGCUCACCAAGCCAACGAUCUGUAGCUGGUCUGAGAGGACGACCGGCCACACUGGGACUGAGACACGGCCCAGACUCCUGCGGGAGGCAGCAGUGGGGAAUUUUGGACAAUGGGCGCAAGCCUGAUCCAGCAAUGCCGCGUGCAGGAAGAAGGCCUUCGGGUUGUAAACUGCUUUUGUACGGAACGAAACGGCUCUGGUUAAUACCCGGGGCUAAUGACGGUACCGUAAGAAUAAGCACCGGCUAACUACGUG
This 482-nucleotide ribosomal RNA is filed under the name uncultured bacterium. RNAcentral describes it as "partial 16S ribosomal RNA". It matches the Rfam family "Bacterial small subunit ribosomal RNA", at positions 30 to 507 of the family's 1533-position model. The record is from RNAcentral.